UUUGUGUGUCAAAGCUCCCUAAGGACCUCAAGGAUCGGGGGCAGUGCUCACACCAAUACCAUUUCUUAGAUGGGGGUUGAUUAUGUGCAGUGUGGAAGGGCUAGCCCUGGUAUGCCAUAGUUCAAAGGGAUCUCAAGAAUCCCUAAGAAGUACGCAUACCAGAGGGACAAAACUUAAUAACCUAGGAGUAGGGUGAGAGUGCUUGACAUAGUGUUGAAAUACUUAAUACAACCGUACCUAUAUUCACUUAACAAGUAGACUUACAAAUAGGGGUGGAGGGGAUUGUGAACAUAUAGGGCUGAAACCACAUAAACGAGGAAACACUUAAUACAACAAGUGGGCAGAACCACUAGGAAUCUAUUGAAUCAAGUUAAUUAUGGAGAAGGACUGUAAUAGAAUCAUGUUAAAGACAGAGAUGUGUUGAACAAAACUGGACAUACAAUUAGGACCAAUUGGAUGCACUGGAAAACUAAGUAACUAACAUAGUCAUACUAAUUAAAGAGAGGGGGUAAGGGACUAGGUAAAUAUACUAGGCAGGUAUUACAGAACUAAGUGGAGUCAGACAUGCUGAUUACACAUAAGGCAUAAUUUAGACAUGCUUAAUAACAGCAAACAACGAAAUAACUUGAGUAACUAAUACAGGAAUAAACAUGGAUGUAUAGACGAGCACAUGAGGUUGAGUUUCAAAAAUUAACUAGAGAUAUACCAGUUGUAGAAAAGAAUGCAGAAUGUAAAAAAUAGGGCAGUUCAACUAUUUAGCGUUGGCUUUCAGCCAGCUAGACCAACCGUCAACACAAGUAGUAAAUAAAGAAGAGAGAGUUUGAAUGUAUGUGUGUGUAUUCUCAAUUAUUGUUCGUGUGUUUAAGAGGUAGAAUAAGAUAUAGCACUUAAGGUGUGAAUCAAAAUAAGGUAAAAGAUCACAGUUCAAUCUAUUAGGAGCAACUAAUCACAGAAUCAAUUCCCAUAGAGGAGUCCGGAAUAAACCCCUUAAUUGGGUGGGGGUAAUCAAUUAACAGUCCCAACAUGAAGUCCAAUUAAGGUGAGAACUCAAAAACAUUCCAUGUAGGGAGUUAGUAGAAGUCCCAAAACAAUACUAAUAACUAAUUAAGGCAAGUAUGAUCAAUUAAGGUCACAAAUAAAGAAACAUAUAAAAUUUCGGCAAACACUGAUUUUAACAGGAUAUUAAUAGGAAUUAAUUAGUAAAAUUUUCAAAGAAUACUGAUUUUAUAGGACAGAAUUAUUCAGAUUUCCUAAAAUAGAUAUCAACUAAGCAAAAGAAAAUCCCAAAGAUACUAGAAUUAACAUGAACAUCACUUAAAUCCUUAAAUAGAAUCAGUGAGUGCAACUGAUUCACCAAAUCAACAUAAUAGAAGAAAUUGGUGUAGCCAUUAGAAGCAUAUAGGGUUCGAUCUUGUAUACAAGGAUUAACCAAAUACGUAAACAGAUUAAAAAUUAAAAGAACAAAAAUAUCUCGAAGAGAAGUCUAGGAAGAACCUUAAUUUGAAAACCUUGAGGUUGAUUGACAGUAUAGGGGGUCAAAGAACCCAUAAAGAAAAUAGCCAUAGUAACUUGAAAGUACUUCAAACAUAAUGAGAUUCGAACAAUAGAAGUUAGAGAAAUCAAAGACCUAAAGUAGGGAAGUGUUAAAAAUCGAUUAGUAGUAGAGAAGUAAAAAGAACCUUGGAGAACAACCAUGGAAAUUUGAACAUACUUUGGAUACACAUAGAUGCGACUAACAAACAACAAGAAAACCAAACCCUAAUAUAACAAAGUGCUCAAAAAAUUGGUUAAUUAGUAAAGAAAUAACUGAACCUUAAGGAAAAACCAAUGAUGAACUCAAAAUCGCUCUAGAUCCACAAGGAUCUGGACAGAUUCAAGUCCAAACACUAGGUUUUUGAAGAAAAGAGAAAGUGAAGAGAAUCUAAUCUCUGAAUUAGAUAUUUGAAUUGUAAAACAUCAUUAGAAAACACUCACAAAAGAGAAUCUAAUCUCUGAAUCAGAUAUUAGAAUUUUAAAACAUUGAUAGAAAAACACUCACAGACCUUUAAUGGACUGUUAGAGUGUCUUGAACAAGAUCUGGACUACAUCUCACCGAGAUUUUUCCAUGAAACCACACAAACGAGCAACCAGGAGAUGUAUGAGGCAGGAAGGGGUCUCAAACACCCAUGAGAACCCAUGGAUCGAGUGAGGACUGGAGGGAUUAGGGUUGGUUUUGGUUGGCGGCAGCUAGGGUUAGGUCUGGGUCUCAGAGAGAGUUUGAGAGAUGAAGGAGCGAAGGGCAGCAGAGUAUGGAGGGAAAUCAAU
RNAcentral lists this long non-coding RNA (2304 nucleotides) under Nicotiana benthamiana. RNAcentral describes it as "long non-coding RNA (NBEN_LNC038229)". The record is from RNAcentral. Lineage: Eukaryota; Viridiplantae; Streptophyta; Magnoliopsida; Solanales; Solanaceae.